RNAcentral lists this microRNA precursor (250 nucleotides) under Medicago truncatula (barrel medic). Its description in RNAcentral is "MIR2655 microRNA precursor family". It matches the Rfam family "MIR2655 microRNA precursor family". The record is from Rfam by way of RNAcentral. Lineage: Eukaryota; Viridiplantae; Streptophyta; Magnoliopsida; Fabales; Fabaceae.
CCAUUAACUAUUAAAAGUUUUGUUUUGGUCCCUUAACUUAUUUUUUGGUUUCGUUUUGGUCCCUUAACUCUUCCUUCAUCAACCACUUUGGUCCUUUAUGCUAGGAUGAAUGUAUUAGAGUUAAGGGACCAAAACGAAACCAAAAAAUAAGUUAAAGGACCAAAACGAAACCAAAAAAUAAGUUAAGGGACCAAAACGAAACCAAAAAAUAAGUUAAGGGACCAAAACGAAACUUUUAAUAGUUAAGGGA